AGCGAACGCUGGCGGCAGGCUUAACACAUGCAAGUCGAGCGGGCAUCUUCGGAUGUCAGCGGCAGACGGGUGAGUAACACGUGGGAACGUACCCUUCGGUUCGGAACAACUCUGGGAAACUGGAGCUAAUACCGGAUACGCCCUUAUGGGGAAAGGUUUACUGCCGAAGGAUCGGCCCGCGUCUGAUUAGCUAGUUGGUGGGGUAACGGCCUACCAAGGCGACGAUCAGUAGCUGGUCUGAGAGGAUGGUCAGCCACACUGGGACUGAGACACGGCCCAGACUCCUACGGGAGGCAGCAGUGGGGAAUAUUGGACAAUGGGCGCAAGCCUGAUCCAGCCAUGCCGCGUGAGUGAUGAAGGCCUUAGGGUUGUAAAGCUCUUUUGUCCGGGACGAUAAUGACGGUACCGGAAGAAUAAGCCCCGGCUAACUUCGUG
This 435-nucleotide ribosomal RNA is filed under the name uncultured bacterium. RNAcentral's name for it is "partial 16S ribosomal RNA". It matches the Rfam family "Bacterial small subunit ribosomal RNA", at positions 29 to 507 of the family's 1533-position model. The record is from RNAcentral.